This 305-nucleotide long non-coding RNA is filed under the name Dromaius novaehollandiae (emu). RNAcentral describes it as "lncRNA (ENSDNVG00000012576.1)". Lineage: Eukaryota; Metazoa; Chordata; Aves; Casuariiformes; Dromaiidae. The record is from RNAcentral.
AUGCAUGAACUCCAUGUACUGGGAUUCAAAGACCCCUUUCAACAAACUCAAAAUAAACAGCAACAUCUUAUUUUAAAUGUGAUGCCACAAAAAAAGAAGAAAUACUUUUUGAGAGGAAUGAAAGCAAGAGGCUGUCUGCCAAGAACACUGCUGUCAUCAUCAUAGCAUGGAGAAAGACCCCUAGGCCAAAUCUUAUACCUACGUCUUAUACCUACAUGGGGGAAGAUAGGAAAGGAAAGGACAGAAGAGCAUCACAUCCCAUUUUGGCACUUCAGGUAACCAAGCCAACAUAAUUUUUACUUGAA